GACCUGACCUUUUCAAGAUCAUUUUCUCUCCAUUGCUUUUCACAAAGCUAUUAACUUGUCUCCUUCCCAAAGAUUGCAAUAAUUUAUUUCCCAUUAAUAAAAAAUUCCUGGUGCCAUGCAAAUUAAAAUUUAUUCAGCAAAUAGAAUUCUUUGGAUUAUUUUCUAAUGGCUUUAAAUACUUCCAGCUUAGGAAGAAAAAUAAUAUUAAUGGGCACAGGCUGAGUGGAUAAUUGCAUACAUUGAAGAAAAAUGAAUAUACAACCAUGCUGUAGCUUACCUAACAUCAAUUACCCAGAAGAGUUGCUUUACUUUUUUCAAAAAAUAUAUUAAAUAAUUUAUUUCAGGGGGUAUCAUUAUGGUCUUGAAAUUAUCCCAAUUGAAUGAAAAGCUCAGCAACUUACAUGUAUAAACAACACAUGUUGGUAUAAGAAAACCAGACCACGUUAAAAAAAAAAAAUGUGAGUAGGUGUAAAUGAGAUUAUUUAAGGGGGUCACUUAGCUAAAUUGGCAACUGAAUUACAAUAUAAUGUGAGCAAGGGAAAAAUGAAAUGCAAGGAAUUGAAUUUCUUUUCUUACUAAGUGGCCCCUGUCUUUCUCUUUGUAAUUGAGAGUACCCUAUGAGAAAAUCGAAUUGUUUUUGAAUCUCAUUCUGAGAGAAGUUAAGUAUAUCUUCUUCAUGCUUUCACUAUUUUCCGUUUCCUUGCAUUUUAUGUUCAUGUGAUGAAACUUGUGUGAUAACAUGUUUAUAUGCAGAGUGUUUUAGACCUAAAGUGCUGUGGGUAGCAUGCAAUAUUUACUGUCAACUGAUUUGCUCCAUAUAAAAAUAGUAUCAGUGCCUAAAGGACGUCAGUUAAAACUUUGAGCCAUCAUAAACAUAACUCUUUCUGGUUUUUGACAUACUAAUUGGAUUGGACAAGUGGGAUUAGAAAGCCCAAGAGAACUUUGUGGGUUUGAAAUUUUCCAAUGGAAACAAAGCUCUUUGAGUAUUUUCUUCAUAGUCUAGGAAAUUAGAAAAUGAAGGAGUGGGUGGGCAAUCUAGUUAACCUGCCAACUGGGGCAAUUUUCUCCCUUAAAUAGAAGACUUCAUUGUCUGAUCCAAUCUAAUUUUAAAGACGUUUUUCCCCCCUGUUCUCUCUCACAGUCCAAAAGGAAAAAGACAAUUAGAGGAAGAACUGUUAUUUUGAUGCUAUAGAGUGUGCAGUGAGAUUUUGCACGUUAUUUUACUGGGCCUUCAGGAUUAUUCUUUGAGCUACUUAGGACAAUUUUUCACAUCUUGCUUUACAGAUAAAGAAAUUGAAAGCUCAUAUAAAUGAACUUAUGUGUUCAAGGUUUUAGGCUGAUCAAUUAAGGAGCCAAGACUCAACCCCAGAUUCUGUGGCCCUUCCUAAGUGCCUGCCAAAUUAACUCAAAUAAGCUAGUCUUAUCAGCCUCUGUAGCAGUGGUUGUCAGCUGGGAGCCAUACUGGCCUCCAGAGAACAUCCCGCAGUGUUCACUUUUAGUUGUCAUAACUGUGUGUAUGUGCUGGAGGGUGCAAUUGGCAUUUAGGGAGUAGAGGCCAAGGAUGCUUCUAAGCAUCCUCAAAGCACAAAACCAUCUCCACAGCUCAGGAUUAUUUGGUUCAAAAUAUAUGUCAUUAUUGAGAAAUCCUGGUUUAAACAUGAGAUAAAAAAGAAAUGAAAUACAUGUAAACAACUUUUGAAAUAAAGUUAUUUAUACAUGGAUUUUUAGUAUGAUUGGAAAGUGUGAUAAUGACUCUGAACAACAAUGGAAAUAAAUGUAGAAGAAAACCAAAAAACAAACAGAGCCAGAAAAUAAGAUAAAACAAUCCUUAAGAGAAAAAAAAAAUCUUGGGAGGAAAAAAAUGAAGAUUAAAGAUUUGUGAAUGUCCUAGAAUGCAAAGCAAAUAAAAAUAUUCUAAAAUUUAUUCAGCAAUAAAGACUGACGAUGAUGUGAAUCACUGGGCAUCCAGAAGAUUUCACGGACUGUCUCAAGAAUGGACACACUUGAUAAAGUCCUGGAGUAGUAACAGGAAGUACUGUUAGAUGGGCUGAUCUAAGAAGUGUAUAGAAAGAGGAGAAAGAGACUAGGAAAUACUCUUUGAAGCAACAUACAGCAUCAAUGUAUCAAGUGUCCAAACUUGGGAAAUAAAGAAAAAGAAAGAGGGUUUUCUACUCUACCAUUAAAGGUAGAGAGGAGUUUAAGUUUAAAAAUAGGAGUUAAGCCUUCUUACUCUGGAGUUCAUCUUUCUUUUUUUGAAAUCUUUAUAUACGGUGUAUUGUAAUCAAUUUGGUUUGAGGAGUAUAUUUACCUUGUUCAGUCAUUUUAAAAAAUGAUGUAUUACAGAAUAUUCUGAUGUUUUGUAAAAUUUAAGGCAGCCCUGGAAUUUCCAACCUUACCAGGGAUUUAAAAUUAACAGGUUUCAAUAAAAUCAUGGUGUGAGUGUGUGUGCAUGCAUGUGUAUAUAUUUUAAAUAGGACAGAUCCCGUUUUGCUGAAAAUAAAGAUUCCAAACAAUGUACAGCUCUUUGGAAUUCCACUUGUUGGUGUGUAUUUGUGAUUUGUGUGUGUGUGUGUGUGUGUGUGUGUGUGGCUUUCCUAUACCAACAAGAAAUUCUCAGACACCAGCAGGGUGUCUGAGAACUCAACUCAAAUCUGAUGCUCUCAAGAGAGUGUCAGAUUCCAUAGGUUAAGAGCUCAGUCCUCCAAGACUACCUCCCAACCCCCACCAAGCCCAUUUCAAAUACCUGUCAAAAGCCCAAGUAAGUACUUGUACUUCUGACAGACUGACUACCAACUGAAGCAUCCCAUGAUCUCUUCCUUGGAUUUGAUUAAUUUGUUAGAGUGGCUCACAGAACUGAGAGAAACAUCUUACUGACUAGAUUGUCAGUUUAUUAUAAAAGGAUAUAACUCAGAAACAGUAAGAUGAAGAAGAUGCACAGAUGUAAAGGGCGUAGGACUUCCAUGUCCUCUUUAGGUGCCAUUCUCCCAGCAUCUCCAGGUAUUCAUUAACCUAGAAAUUCUCUGAGCCUCCUUCUUUGGGUUUUUAUGUAGGCUUCAUUAUAUAGGCAUGAUUGACUAAACCAUUGGCCAUUAGUGAUUGAACCCAAUCUCCAGCUCCUCUCACCUCCCCCAAGAUCAGAGGUCAGAGAGAAAUUCCAACCUUCUAAUCGCAGGGUUGACUGUCCUGACAACUAGCUCCUGUCCUGAGGUGUUUCCAAAAGUCAUCCCAUUAACACAACAAAAGAUAUCUUUAUUGUUCUCAUCACUCAGGAAAUUCCAAGAGUUUUAGGAUCUCUGUACCAGAAAUGGGGACAAAGACCAAAUAUAUAUUUCUUAUUAUAAAUCAUGAUAUCACAGCAGCCUUAGCUACAUCUCCUUGCCUCUCUUAGCCAUCUUGUUGAAACUGUGAGAAAAGACAGGCAGUUUAGGAUCAGACAAUCUGAGAAAAGGCUGUAAAUCCCACCUCUAUUUCUUACUGGCUUAUGUAGUGCAGAUAUUCCUAAACUUUUCAAACAUUGGUUUCCUAUUUGGUAAACUGGGAAUGAGAACUAUUUAUUGCAAUGGUAUUAAAAAUAUUUCACAAUUAGUGUAGUAUGGAUCCUGAUCAAACAGAAUAGGUGCACUGACCAAUCAGUGGACACUAGCUAGAAACAACCCAUAUGACCAAACCAGUCACUGAUUGUCAGGCCUGCCUUGCUCACAAGGUUCUGGAGAGAAUUAUAUAAUUUUGUUUGUUCAUUUAUUUAGUACAUAUUUAUUACACAUGCACAGGUUCUAGAUGCUCUACUGGGAACUAGGAAUAGAGAGAUAAACAUGAUUUCAUGCCUUUGAAAGUCUCAAGUCUAGUGAGAGGCACAUAUAAAGUAAUAAUUGUGUAUGUACAAGGGAUUAUAAGUAUUGAGCUUUAUUUCACUAUUGCUUGCUUUUAGGUUCCACUCAUGUCUAAGAUCUUCAGGCUUAACUUUUUCUUGGUGUUUAGUGCUGCAUUUUUAGCUGUAUGCUGGACAUGCUUUUGGCUAACUGCAAUUACCUCAAGCAAAAUAACACUCAAAAUAACACUCAAAACUGAAUUUACAACUUUCUGUACAAACCAGUUUUUCUACUUUAUAUUCCAGAAUGAUGCUGUUUUUGAUGUUGCUGUUGCCAGGCUUAAAAUCUUGAAGUUGUCCUUGGGUCUUUCCUAUUCUUUAGGUCCUCUAUCUAACACUCAGCCAAUCCCGUUGGUAUUCCCUGUCCAUUUUCCUCCAUUCCUUUCCUAGACCGAAACUAGUUCAAAACUUAUUAUUUCUUACCUUGUCCCCUUCCAGGCUCUCUGCUUUUACUCCUAAUAUGUAUAUUCCCAAUUCCUAACUUUUUUCAACAACCAAUUUCUAUUUACAUUUUCUUUAUUUUUCAAGACCUAUCAUAUCACUAUGUUCUGUUUUCUAUGGGCUAUUAUUUUCUGAAAUGAACUUGCUCAUAUAUUUUCUUAUAUGGUUAUGUGUCUCCUUGUGUUCCCUCCCCAGUUGACUCAUGCUGACUAUUAGCUACAUGAGCAAAAACUUGACACAGAGGCAUUCAGUAAAUAUGUGGUGAAUGAAUGGAUGAAUGAAUGAAUAAAUGAUUGGUCCAGUUCUUCCCAACUCCUCAGACAAAACUGCCUGAAUUCCCACACGACUUUAUCUGUGUUUGCCUCUUGGCCACAGCUCUGGAUUCUCACAGUUAGUGCCUCUAUCAUCUCACCAGUCAGUGAUUCCAAGAGUCCCUAGAACUCUUGCCCAAGUAGUUCUCCCUAUUAAAAUUAAGUAACUAAAAAUCAACUAAAAAUUAAAAUUUUGCUUAACCAAAACAUCUGUAAUAUAACAUCUCAAUAAUGUUGUUAAAAGAAAACUCUGUGACUUUUAAAAAUUUAUUGCUUUGACAUGAAAAAGAAACCUUAGCAUUAAUCCAUUAGAAUAACCUAUCAAGAACUCGUUUUAUUCUGCACCUAGAUGAAGGUAAAUUAAAGAAUGCAGAUUGAAACUCUAAGUAGGUAAACCCUGCUGUUUCUCAUUUGCCAUGCUAAUCAAGGCUGCAGGAAGAAGUUUCUGACUCCAUUAGCCUAUGUUUUCAUUUUCUACUUCUUUCUCUUCUCAGUCCUCAUGUUCUUUGCCACCAAUCUGAGACUUGGAUACUUUUCCAGAAUAAAAAAAAGGAUCUUAGUCAAGCAUAAACUGCUCAAAACACUCAUGUUAAUUGUAGUGACAGAGAACCAUUGUAAAGGCAUAGAUUAACCUGUUUUAUUUUUUCUGAAUCAAAAAAUGCUCAUUUUUAGCAAACCUGGAGACUAUAAAGAGGGAAACACAUGAGAGAGUAUAUACAAAUUACUAAGUUAAUGGUGCUAACAAUGAAUAGCUCAGAGUACUCUAAUGAUUGAUUUCUAAAUGAAUUGGAUAUAAACUGAUGCUAUAAAGUAUAGAAGAAAGGGAACUCUGACUUGUAUUAUCCUAAGGGAGACACCUCUGCCUUCACAAAUUUUAAAUUUACUUCCAUUUUAAUCACAUUUCAAAGGAAUACCCUAUUAUCUCCCUUUCUUACUCCUUAGUUUCCUGUAACAUUCGACUCAUUGCAACAUUUUAUAUCAGUGUUAAAUGAAAUGCUCCAUAUUAUAGAAACUGAUAUGAAAAAUCCUGCAAGAGGACUUAGAAGACCUGUUUGGGGGAAUUUCUUUUAACUAAGAGAGGGCUACCAUGAACCAUUUUUGCUGAAAGUGAUUUAGUGAUCAUUAUUAAGAGAUAGCCAUGGGAUAUUUAUUUUUUCCAGAGAGCCUUUUAAAGGUAUCCUAAUUUAUGUGGCCAUUUAAUGAUAUUGAUUAUUGCCUAGUGGAACUGGAGAUAUGGAUGCUGAAAUCAGGACUGAUUAUGAAUUAGAUAGUUUAAAAUUUAUGCUGUGGAUGCAUAUCUGCUUAAUUAAACAGAAGUCAUAUACUCUUACAUGAGACACUUUCAUAUGCUUCUUAAAACAUGAAUAAAAAGCAAAGGCAUCUGUUUAUGAAGAGGAAAGGCAACCUAUUACAAGCCUGUAGCUAUUGGUCAGCCUCAAGCUCAGAAACACCCAAUAUCAUUCAGUGUACCCGGCUGAGUUAUUAUUGUUUGAGUUUGUCUUUUACUUCUGCUGGGAAUUGUCUUAGCACUUCCUGAUGUACCUGAAUAAUGAGGUUGUUGCACCUGUGAAAUAAUUAUCACACAAGCCACCAUCACCCAUGGGAUGUUUGGUGCAGCAUGUGGGCCAGCUCAUUAUAUACUGGUGGGCUGUCUUCCUCUUUAUACUUUUCCUGCUUCUUCUCUUUAGUGCAAAUAUGUGAUUUAAUCAAAUGAAGACUAACUUGGCAAAUAGCAUAAAAUUCAUCUGCACCUUCUUCAAAUCAACACUGAAUACAAAUUUCCCAUCUCCAAUUUUAUGUUUGAGGUAUGGAAUAAAUAUAAGAUGAUCAUAUUCAUGGUCACCAAAUCUGUUCC
Molecule: long non-coding RNA, 6475 nt
Filed under: Sus scrofa (pig)
Lineage: Eukaryota; Metazoa; Chordata; Mammalia; Artiodactyla; Suidae
Description: lncRNA (ENSSSCG00000057218.1)
Source: RNAcentral